Molecule: ribosomal RNA, 439 nt
Filed under: uncultured bacterium
Lineage: Bacteria
Description: partial 16S ribosomal RNA
Rfam family: Bacterial small subunit ribosomal RNA
Source: RNAcentral
CUACGGGACGCAGCAGUGGGGAAUCUUGGACAAUGGGCGCAAGCCUGAUCCAGCCAUGCCGCGUGAGUGGAGAAGGCCUUAGGGUCGUAAAGCUCUUUCGCCAGAGAUGAUAAUGACCGUAUCUGGUAAAGAAACCCCGGCUAACUCCGUGCCAGCAGCCGCGGUAAUACGGAGGGGGUUAGCGUUGUUCGGAAUUACUGGGCGUAAAGCGCGCGUAGGCGGAUUAGUCAGUCAGAGGUGAAAUCCCAGGGCUCAACCCUGGAACUGCCUUUGAUACUGCUAGUCUUGAGUUCGAGAGAGGUGAGUGGAAUUCCGAGUGUAGAGGUGAAAUUCGUAGAUAUUCGGAGGAACACCAGUGGCGAAGGCGGCUCACUGGCUCGAUACUGACGCUGAGGUGCGAAAGUGUGGGGAGCAAACAGGAUUAGAUACCCCGGUAGUC